AGAGACAGCAGCCGCCGCGGGAAUACAGAGGGUGCGAGCGUUAAUCGGAUUUACUGGGCGUAAAGCGUGCGUAGGCGGCUUCUUAAGUCGGAUGUGAAAUCCCUGAGCUUAACUUAGGAAUUGCAUUCGAUACUGGGAAGCUAGAGUAUGGGAGAGGAUGGUAGAAUUCCAGGUGUAGCGGUGAAAUGCGUAGAGAUCUGGAGGAAUACCGAUGGCGAAGGCAGCUCGCUGGAACGUUACUGACGCUGAGACGCGAAAGCGUGGGGAGCAAACAGGAUUAUACCCCUGUAGUCCCUGUCUCUUAUACAC
RNAcentral lists this ribosomal RNA (309 nucleotides) under uncultured bacterium. RNAcentral's name for it is "partial 16S ribosomal RNA". It matches the Rfam family "Bacterial small subunit ribosomal RNA", at positions 504 to 809 of the family's 1533-position model. The record is from RNAcentral.